RNAcentral lists this ribosomal RNA (253 nucleotides) under uncultured bacterium. Its description in RNAcentral is "partial 16S ribosomal RNA". It matches the Rfam family "Bacterial small subunit ribosomal RNA", at positions 524 to 776 of the family's 1533-position model. The record is from RNAcentral.
UACGAAUCGUCCAAACGUUGUUCGGAUUCACUGGGUUUAAAGGGCGCGUAGGCGGUGCGUUAAGUCGGCGGUGAAAUACUUCGGCUCAACCGGAGAAUAGCCGCUGAAACUGGCGUGCUCGAGGGAGGUAGAGGUGCGUGGAACUUCCGGUGGAGCGGUGAAAUGCGUUGAUAUCGGAAGGAACACCUGUGGCGAAAGCGAUGCACUGGACCUCUUCUGACGCUGAGGCGCGAAAGCCAGGGUAGCGAACGGG